GAGUUUGAUCCUGGCUCAGAACGAACGCGGCGGCGUGCCUAACACAUGCAAGUCGAACGGAGUGAAGGAGCUUGCUCUUUCAUUUAGUGGCGCACGGGUGAGUAACGCGUAGAUAAUCUGCCUUGGACUCUGGGAUAACAUCUCGAAAGGGGUGCUAAUACCGGAUAAGCCCACGAUGGCGUAAGUCAUUGCGGGAAAAGGGGGCCUCUGAAUAUGCUCCUGAUUCAAGAUGAGUCUGCGUACCACUAGCUAGUUGGUAGGGUAAGACCUACCAAGGCGACGAUGGUUAGCUGGUCUGAGAGGAUGAUCAGCCACACUGGAACUGAGACACGGUCCAGACUCCUACGGGAGGCAGCAGUGGGGAAUUUUGCGCAAUGGGGGAAACCCUGACGCAGCAACGCCGCGUGAGUGAUGAAGGCUUCGGGUGUAAAGCUCGUCUAGGGGAAGAAAGAUAGUCGGUUAAUCCCGGUUUUUUGACGGUACCUGAAGAAGCCCGGCUAACUCGCCGCGCGGGUAA
Molecule: ribosomal RNA, 517 nt
Filed under: uncultured Geobacter sp.
Lineage: Bacteria; Pseudomonadati; Thermodesulfobacteriota; Desulfuromonadia; Geobacterales; Geobacteraceae
Description: bacterial SSU rRNA
Rfam family: Bacterial small subunit ribosomal RNA
Source: RNAcentral